AUUGAACGCUGGCGGCAGGCCUAACACAUGCAAGUCGAGCGGAUGAAGGGAGCUUGCUCCUGGCUUCAGCGGCGGACGGGUGAGUAAUGCCUAGGAAUCUGCCUGGUAGUGGGGGAUAACGUCCGGAAACGGGCGCUAAUACCGCAUACGUCCUGAGGGAGAAAGUGGGGGAUCUUCGGCCCUCACGCUCUCAGAUGAGCCUAGGUCGGAUUAGCUAGUUGGUGGGGUAAAGGCCUACCAAGGCGACGAUCCGUAACUGGUCUGAGAGGAUGAUCAGUCACACUGGAACUGAGACACGGUCCAGACUCCUACGGGAGGCAGCAGUGGGGAAUAUUGGACAAUGGGCGAAAGCCUGAUCCAGCCAUGCCGCGUGUGUGAAGAAGGUCUUCGGAUUGUAAAGCACUUUAAGUGGGGAGGAAGGGCAGUAAGUUAAUACCUUGCUGUUUUGACGUUACCAACAGAAUAAGCACCGGCUAACUUCGUG
Molecule: ribosomal RNA, 484 nt
Filed under: uncultured bacterium
Lineage: Bacteria
Description: partial 16S ribosomal RNA
Rfam family: Bacterial small subunit ribosomal RNA
Source: RNAcentral